This 497-nucleotide ribosomal RNA is filed under the name uncultured bacterium. Its description in RNAcentral is "partial 16S ribosomal RNA". It matches the Rfam family "Bacterial small subunit ribosomal RNA", at positions 28 to 507 of the family's 1533-position model. The record is from RNAcentral.
GAUGAACGCUGGAGGCGUGCCUAAUACAUGCAAGUCGAGCGAACAGAUGAGGAGCUUGCUCCUCUGACGUUAGCGGCGGACGGGUGAGUAACACGUGGAUAACCUACCUAUAAGACUGGGAUAACUUCGGGAAACCGGAGCUAAUACCGGAUAAUAUAUUGAACCGCAUGGUUCAAUAGUGAAAGACGGUUUUGCUGUCACUUAUAGAUGGAUCCGCGCCGCAUUAGCUAGUUGGUAAGGUAACGGCUUACCAAGGCAACGAUGCGUAGCCGACCUGAGAGGGUGAUCGGCCACACUGGAACUGAGACACGGUCCAGACUCCUACGGGAGGCAGCAGUAGGGAAUCUUCCACAAUGGGCGAAAGCCUGACGCAGCAACGCCGCGUGAGUGAUGAAGGUCUUCGGAUCGUAAAACUCUGUUAUUAGGGAAGAACAAAUGUAUAAGUAACUAUUCACGUCUUGACGGUACCUAAUCAGAAAGCCACGGCUAACUACGUG